Molecule: long non-coding RNA, 393 nt
Filed under: Trifolium pratense (red clover)
Lineage: Eukaryota; Viridiplantae; Streptophyta; Magnoliopsida; Fabales; Fabaceae
Description: long non-coding RNA (TPRA_LNC008141)
Source: RNAcentral
AGCCUUACAUAGGGAUUAGAAGAUGAUUCUUUACAAAAAUAUCAAACUCUAUAUGCUUAUUUUACAUAAAAUAUCAAAGCCUUAGCAUGAAGUUCUUCAAUAAAAUAUGCUUAUUUUACAUGUGAUGUGAUGAUGAUGGAUAAUUAUAUUCAUCGACAUAAGGUUUCGUUUGGUGGCAAGAAUAAGAGAUAUUGGUAUCAUAUGUUGCUUUACUAAGUGUGUGAUAAAACUGUUGAUAUUUUACCUGUAAGAGUUUCAUAUUAAAUGGAAAAAGUGAAAUUUGAAGGUUUUGGAUUAAAAUGUUGUAUAAAUUCAUUUAUGUGAUUGUUUAAGGUUCAAUGUGAUGAUCAUCAGACCUCUUUGUUGUGAAAUAACAGAGCUGAAGAAGAAAAA